Molecule: long non-coding RNA, 570 nt
Filed under: Gossypium raimondii (Peruvian cotton)
Lineage: Eukaryota; Viridiplantae; Streptophyta; Magnoliopsida; Malvales; Malvaceae
Description: long non-coding RNA (GRAI_LNC010209)
Source: RNAcentral
GCCGAGUAUUCAUCAACUGCGACUGUAAAACGCCCAAAACAUCACAUAUAAUCGAAUCGUAACUCGUGUAAUACCGUUUCUCCCACUCCAUCCAAUCCGCCGGCGGUUCAUAGUUCCGCUCUAUCAUCUUGAUCUCGUGUAUUCUUUUCCGUAGAACAAUCAUGUUUUCAUCGACGAGUCGCCGUCUUCCUCCACCACCAACGCCGCUGCAGCUCAAGUCAUCAUUAUCCGAUCUUCUCGCGGCGAAUAUCUUCGGCGUCGCCGUGGAGAUCGGUUUUCUGGAUCGGUGUUUCGGAAAGCACGCUGUUGAGGAAAGAAAACAGGUAUUGCAAAGAGAUUUUGAUCCCAUGAUUUUGAAUUUUCUUUCUUUUUUUGUUUAUUUGUUGAUGAUGAUAUUUGAUAAUAGCGUUUAUGCUAACAGUGUUUUUAUAGUUUGAAAAACGGCGGUGGGAACCACCGAUGGGGGCGGCGCGCGAAAGCGUGUUAAUAAACAGCGCAGAUACAAGUUGGUUGCGCGUUUUUCAAGGUGGAUCCCCCAAAACUCAACGCUCAUCACGUUUUGAUAGCGAC